AGAGUUUGAUCCUGGCUCAGGAUGAACGCUGGCGGCGUGCCUAACACAUGCAAGUCGAGCGAUUCUCUUCGGAGAAGAGCGGCGGACGGGUGAGUAACGCGUGGGUAACCUGCCCUGUACACACGGAUAACAUACCGAAAGGUAUGCUAAUACGAGAUAAUAUACUUUUAUCGCAUGGUAGAAGUAUCAAAGCUUUUGCGGUACAGGAUGGACCCGCGUCUGAUUAGCUAGUUGGUAAGGUAACGGCUUACCAAGGCGACGAUCAGUAGCCGACCUGAGAGGGUGAUCGGCCACAUUGGAACUGAGACACGGUCCAAACUCCUACGGGAGGCAGCAGUGGGGAAUAUUGCACAAUGGGCGAAAGCCUGAUGCAGCAACGCCGCGUGAGCGAUGAAGGCCUUCGGGUCGUAAAGCUCUGUCCUCAAGGAAGAUAAUGACGGUACUUGAGGAGGAAGCCCCGGCUAACUACGUGCCAGCAGCCGCGGUAAUACGUAGGGGGCUAGCGUUAUCCGGAAUUACUGGGCGUAAAGGGUGCGUAGGUGGUUUCUUAAGUCAGAGGUGAAAGGCUACGGCUCAACCGUAGUAAGCCUUUGAAACUGGGAAACUUGAGUGCAGGAGAGGAGAGUGGAAUUCCUAGUGUAGCGGUGAAAUGCGUAGAUAUUAGGAGGAACACCAGUUGCGAAGGCGGCUCUCUGAACUGUAACUGACACUGAGGCACGAAAGCGUGGGGAGCAAACAGGAUUAGAUACCCUGGUAGUCCACGCCGUAAACGAUGAGUACUAGCUGUCGGAGGUUCACCCCCUUCGGUGGUCGCAGUCU
This 819-nucleotide ribosomal RNA is filed under the name uncultured bacterium. RNAcentral describes it as "bacterial SSU rRNA". It matches the Rfam family "Bacterial small subunit ribosomal RNA", at positions 8 to 854 of the family's 1533-position model. The record is from RNAcentral.